Molecule: long non-coding RNA, 3540 nt
Filed under: Homo sapiens (human)
Lineage: Eukaryota; Metazoa; Chordata; Mammalia; Primates; Hominidae
Description: HSALNT0394577
Source: RNAcentral
GGCAAGCUGCUCGGAUCCCAGCCCACGGUGUGGAAGCUUUGUUCUUUCGCUCUUUGCAAUAAAUCCUGCUGCUGCUCACUCUUUGGGUCAACACUACCUUUCUGAGCUGUGACGCUCACUGCGAAGGUCUGCAGCUUCACCCCUGAAGCCAGCAAGACCACGAACCCACCGGGAGGAACUAACAACUCCAGACGCGCCGCCUUAAGAGCUGUAACACUCACCGCGAAGGUCCGCAGCUUUACUCCUGAGCCAGCGAGACCACGAACCCACCAGAAGGAAGAAACUCAGAACACAUGCGAACAUCAGAAGGAACAAACUCCAGAGGCGCCACCUUAAGAGCUAUAACACUCACCGCGAGGGUCCGCGGCUUCGUUUUUGAAGUGAGACCAAGAACCCACCAAUUCCGGACAUGCGUGGACUCACUGAGAAGCAGCAAGUUGGCGUUGACUUAGCCCGCUCAGUGUGCAGAGUGGGUUGAAGAAAAGAAUAGACCACAUCAGAGGAGUAAAGGGGUGGGGGCAAAAGCCAGAGAAGGUGGGACCUUGGAAUCACUGGAAUGACUUUGCUUCCACUCUGGAAGCGAACCUGAGCUUCCAGACCUUUGGAGGGCCUUAGCUGUACUACAUUUCAGUACUCCUAAAGCAAGUUUUUCAGAAGAUUGCUCAGGCUAAAACACCAAACUUCUUUGCAGUGAGCUGGGCUAGCAUCAACUUGAGGCUGAAACCUCGGCUUUCUGUACUGAUCAGAAGGUUGAGGUUGAUAGCAAUACCUGUCUGCAAGUCAUUGCAGUAACAAAUACUUAACAAAUGGGGUUUGUUUUGUAGACCUAAUCUUUGAAGACAUAAGGCCCACUGUGAGGGGAGCAGUUACUACAUUCAGCCCUUGGUAGUAAAAUCAUAAGAACCAUCGAUGUAGAUGAUGGCAAUAGAUCACAUUUCCACUCCCACCCACGCAUCUCUGUUCAUGAUUCCCUGCAGGGCCAGGUGGAGAUGUGUGCCUGGGUCGGUAUAAACCUCUCUCUGUGUUUCAAGAACACACCUUUGGGAAGGUGACAGUGUGGUGGUGGGACAGCAAACUGCCAGUCUAGAAAGCUACUCCAGGCCUCAGUUUCUCAUCUGUGGAAUUAAGACAUUGGCCUGUAGAUCCAUGGGAUCCAUCAGGGAUCACCCCAGCUCUAAGCAUCUAUGAUACCGUGGGAAUGGAGAUGAAGAUAUUUCAUUUAACAUCUGGUCAAGAGUCCAAGUAAACAGCUCACGUGAUGUCCUUCAAGAGCCAGCCAUACUCUGGGGCUUAUCGUCUUGGCAGAAAAAGCAACUGUCCAGAGGUCAAACAAGGGCCUGUUUCCUCCCCUGCGAGCCAGCUGAGACCUUCCAUUCCCAGACUGAGUUUCAGUCCUUUAGUUUAGCCUUAAGGCUUUGUUCCCUAAUAAAAUGCAACACACUGGAAAGACUGCCACUAAGUUACUCUCAGAUUUACUUUACAAGGAUGAGUUGAGAUCAACUUUUGAUGAGCAGAGGAGGGCCAAAUAGACCAUGUGUCCUUGGGAGGGAAGAGCUGUGUCCCUGGGAUGGGGAGCAUUUUGGAACCAGAGGUUGGAAGCACCAAAGCCGAACAGUUCCUUCUCACCAGUGCUUCCCAGGCAGAGCCUCACAAAACAGCACAAUUGUGGCAAUUCCCCUGUGAGGCUUCUUUAAGAACCCUAUUUUCCCUGGUUUAAGUAAACUCAAAUAUUUCAUUUGUAUUUCUGUAAGCACACAUUUUCAACUCUUGCUGCCUUCUUGGCUGUUGAAUGACUGUCAUCACCAUGUGUAGAAUCAUGGAUCUAAGAAUCCUCAGUGUCACUUAGUCCAACUUUCUUCCCCAAAUAGUCUCUUCUAGGAUAUCUUCCCCAUUGAUGGCCACUAUGUAGGUGCUUGAACCUUUGCAGUAACAAGGACUUCAUUGCUUCAUAAGGCACUGUGUUACAUGAUGGACUAUUGUAUUUUUAGGAAGUUCUUUUUAUUGAAUCAAACUUUAUCUCUCUAAACAUCAAUUGAUCAUUUCUAGUCUCCCAGAAUUACUUUGGUUAAUGGAUCUCAAAGUCUAAAUUCAAACAUUGUCACCUAAGCAUUGAGGUCCUCCCCUUUUUUGUUCCUCUCACUAGUCUAGUUUUAUGAACAAUCCUAUGAAACCUCGAUGACCACACAUCUGACAAGCCCAUUACUGUUUCAAAAGGAAAGGAAGGUAGGGAUCUACAAGCUAAUGUCUCCAAAGCAGAUCUUAGCACAAUUCUGAUUCUGCAUCCAGCACAUGACAUUCUCCCUGGAGAUAAUCCCAAUGCCUGCUUAAUAGGUUAGAGUCCCAGCGUUUAAUAUCUGACCGCAUUAAGAGUUUUUAACAUCUCACUUAAAAUUAAUCCAUAACAGAUAUUUUUGACAUAAAACUCAAAAGGAAAUAGCUUCCUACCCAAAUUAACUACAAAAUCGGGAAAAACUUUAAAAGUUUCUGUAUUAGACUGUACACAAGCCUGCCUACUGUAUUUAACUGGACUCUUCAUGACAUCUAGUGGCGAAAUCUGGAAAAGUUUCCAGUACUCUAAACGUGGCAGAAGGUGGGAAAACAAUUUUUAAUCCUAUUUGAUAUUCACUGUUUGAAUAUUAUGUUUUGUGAAAUCGUAAACUGAAUUCAUCUGUCAAUCCAUUAUAAUAGUAUACUCAUUUUUAUUUUAGGCAUAUCUGUGGCUUUAUACCUUUUAAAUUUGGGCUGACUUUGAAAUCAAUCACAUCUAUUUUUUCACGGAUGUCAGAAAGAACCACAUUGGUUUAGGGGGAGAAAAACAUUCUGGAUAAGCAUAAAUAACAACAUUUUUAGCUGGAAACACACCACAAAAAUGUUUUGCAUAACUGUAUUCAUCUUCAAAUGUAGUUUUAAGACUCAAUUCCUGUGAAAUCUGAGUCAUUUAUAGCUAACCUUGAAUGUAUUGUUAUUCACAAUUAGAAGUAGAUAAAUUUCACAGGCAGAGAAGCUGACAAGUCUUUAAGACUUCACACUUAGUUUUGCAGGAAGAGCUGAAGUUAAUUAGAAGUGAUUAUACAUACAUUGCAUGUGUGUGUGUAUUUGUGUUGUUGCACACAGACACCACGAAGGCCUUGGGAAGGUUGCAUUUUUUAUGUUUUAAAAAUAAACAUAAUCUCCUUCCCAUGUGUUGCUAUAAGCCCAGUAAAUCUAGGAAGCUCAGCAGGGUUGAACAAGGUCAUUUCUCGUCAGGACUCCAAGGGGGAGCAGGAAGCAACCCUGUGCAUCAGAUGCUGGCAUCCUAAUCCCUGCUCAGCAAGAGCUUCCCAGGCAUGUGGGACAGGUCGUGCCAGCGCCGACACACUGGCAGACCGAGGCUCUGACGCCAGCCACGCUCCGUAUCAGCACUGCGGCUCCCUACCUACCGUGCCCCUGGAAGACGAAAAUAUAUCCUCACUCUCACAGUAAAGGCAGGAUUCCAACCGAGUCUGCUCACUUCUUGGUUCUGGUAAACAGGAAAGUAGUCAUGAAAAGAUACAUCUAAUC